This 438-nucleotide ribosomal RNA is filed under the name uncultured bacterium. RNAcentral describes it as "bacterial SSU rRNA". It matches the Rfam family "Bacterial small subunit ribosomal RNA", at positions 335 to 761 of the family's 1533-position model. The record is from RNAcentral.
ACUCCUACGGGAGGCAGCAGUGGGGAAUAUUGCACAAUGGGCGCAAGCCUGAUGCAGCCAUGCCGCGUGUAUGAAGAAGGCCUUCGGGUUGUAAAGUACUUUCAGCAGUGAGGAAGGCGGAGUCGUUAAUAGCGGCCUCGUUUGACGUUAGCUGCAGAAGAAGCACCGGCUAACUCCGUGCCAGCAGCCGCGGUAAUACGGAGGGUGCGAGCGUUAAUCGGAAUUACUGGGCGUAAAGCGCAUGCAGGUGGUUCGUUAAGUCAGAUGUGAAAGCCCGGGGCUCAACCUCGGAAUUGCAUUUGAAACUGGCAGACUAGAGUACUGUAGAGGGGGGUAGAAUUUCAGGUGUAGCGGUGAAAUGACGUAGAGAAUCUAGAAGGAAUACCGGUAGGCGAAGGCGGCCCCCUGGACAGAUACUGACACUCAGAUGCGAAAGCU